This is an RNA transcript of Helianthus annuus (common sunflower), 3037 nucleotides long. RefSeq lists it as uncharacterized. The record is from RefSeq and is a predicted model, not a curated record. The transcript is spliced from 12 exons. NCBI's taxonomy places the organism in Eukaryota, Viridiplantae, Streptophyta, Magnoliopsida, Asterales, Asteraceae.
UCUUUCCGUCACCGCCCUUGAAAGAAACCUAACAGACUCCCACAAUCAAACCAGGAGUGAAUAUAGCAAAUGAAAGGGUCGAAACAAUUAUAGAUGAAAUUAAUUGGAUGAGGGAGAGAAAGAGAUGAGAUCAGUUGUAUUAAUUUAGGUCAUGUGAAGAGGUUUCAGGUAUGAUUUUGGUAAUCAAGAAUUACGCAUCUUAAUCUUCACCUAUAAAUUCGUGUACCAUAAUCCUUCAUACCGCUUCAAGCUUUUGAAGAUUUCUCAAAACAUUGAGGAGGUAUCAAUGGUGGAUUAUCUCUCUGGGUGAAAUUGUAAGUAAAAUUAAGAUGUCUUUCAUAUUUUAUAAUGUGUGUCUUUUUUCUGGAUUGCUAGCAAUGUUCUUACAGGUCUCCUAGGGUUUCAAUUGGCAUGGAAGGUAAGCUUAAUACAAGAAAUCGAUUUGGGGUUUGCUUUUUUCUGUAAGUUGACGUGAUUACAUAUGUUGGUUUGGGUUGUAUGAUUGAUAAUUCAUCAUGAGAAUGUAUGAUAUUGGAUUUGGGAUUUUUUUUUAAUUUUAUUGACUUGAGUGGCUUAAAUUAGGAUUAAUUGUCUUGGUAAUGCUAAAUUAAAGUAAUCUAUGGGACAAAGCUAUAAUGCACCUUCCAGAUGUUAUACGAUUUGUACAAGAGGUAUGAUCCUCUGCAUAAUGGACAUGCUAUUAUAGAUGAACUGGAUGCGCUCCUAAAAGUGAUUCUUUAAUCCAUAUAUAUCAUAGAUUGUAUGUCAUGGUCUAAAUCCAUCUUUUUAAUCAUGUUUAAAAAUGUCAUGAUUAUGGCUUGCAAAAUGGGUGGGUUGGAUGGGGUUGUACAUGUAAUGUGUCAAAAGGUACUGGUCAGGUUGGGUGGUGAGUUGUGUAAGGGUUCAAUUUGAGUUCAAAAUGGGCUGCUUUUAAAAAAUUGUCAAUUGGGUUCGGGUCAAAACGGGUUGGGUCACAGAGGGUUCACGUGCUAUAUGUACAUAUGAUCAGACCUAUGCUUUUUUGAUUUGUAUCAUUUUGUGUCUUAAUUUUUUGAUAUGCGUGGCAAAGUUUUUCAUUGUGGAAUGUGAUGGACCUAUUUUCGUUUGUUUAAUUGUUGCUCUUAUGGUUUUCUGUGAAUCAUCUUCAACAUGGUGGUUUGUUUUGGGGUUUAAAUCAAACAAGAUGGUAAUUUUGCCACACGUAUCAAUUUUAAAGCAACAUGCACAAGAUGUUUAAAGCCAUUUAAAUAGGAAGUUCUAUAAAAUUUUAAGACAUCUCGGGUUAAAAUGGAUAAAUCGUCCUCCCACGUUUAAUUCCCAGAAACCCAAUCAUCAAACUUCAAGUGUAGAAGAGGAUGACUUAAUUUCAUUCACCUCUUCACUUUCUUUCUUUAUACCUCCUAAAACUCAAAACCCUUGAUAGCAACCGGAUCAAAACAACGUACACCACACACACAAUGGCGACUACAGCGGCUGUCGUCCGAUCAAUUUCCGGUCAUCAUCCCUCCGUAGCGCAGCGGCGCGUGCAUCCUCUCAAGCCAAAGCCGCUCGCUCUCCUUUUCGUAUCGGUAGCCAGAACUCUCUCUCUAAUCGCAUCUUUAUGUAACCACCGUUUGAUUUUUUUUACCCAUGUUGAGUCUAUAUUCGGAAGCAAUUCCGUAUUUUGAUGUUGUUUGUGAUUUCAAUACAGAUGAUUACAACUUAUAUUUGAUCUGAAUCUGUAGAUAUUUAAUCGAAAUUUGUAUCUAAAUUCGCUAAUCGGUGUUCUGAUGUUUGAAAUCAGUAUUUGCGUUUGGUGCUUCGGUGACUAGCGACCACACUUUUAAUCAGGUAUUCCGACGACCCUUGAUUUUUGUUCCGGCUACUGUUACGUUUGACCGGAUAACACUAAUUUACCACUCCCACUUCAUGGCGAGAAUUUGGAUGACAAGAGCUACAAGAGUUCGAUCUUCAGUUUGGAGAGUUAGCAGUAAACGCCCAGGGGGUGAUGUUGAGAAGUGGAUUGAUGUGAUUCGGAUCGGGUUAGAGGAUAUAACGGUUAAUGAUGCGAAUAAAUCGUUUAAUGGAGUCUGUUCUAGGCUCGAGGAUAUGCUAGAUAGUUUGUCGACAUUGCUUUCGGAAAAUUCUGUGUUGAAUAAAGACGAGUUGCUUCAGUUGGCAUUUGCUGCUAUUCAGUUAGUUAAUUCGGUAUUUUGUUCCAUGAACCAAAAUCAAAAGGAACAGAGCAGGCACAUAAUGUCGAGGUGGGUUCAAGUUAACCUUUAUGGAAUUGUCCAGUACGUGAAUCUUAUUGAAGUAGCAAUCGGGUACACCAUUGCAGCAUCCAUCAACCUGAUGAUAUUGCUGCAAGAGUUGGUGCUCAUGAGAUUGAUUUUACGUAAGACACUGCAUCAAAGGUGAAGCCAAAGAACCCGAUAUAUGUGCGAUCUUAUAUACUUUCUAUAGAAGCCCUGCAAGAGACAAUCCAAGGGUAUUGUAGAUGGUAGUGCUGUAUUACAAAAUCAUAAGUCAUCGACUCUCAACCUCUAAAGCUGUGGAAGAAGCCAUCGACUCUCAACCUGUAAACAAGAUCCAAUUGCAGGGGAAGAAUGAACCAACACCGACAUUUUUCAGCAAGAUAUGAUAUUUUAACUCAUCCAAUGAAGAAACUCUUAAGAGACUUGUGAAUAAGCUUAAAAAAUCACCUCAAGAGGUUUUUGAUUCAUUGAAAAAUCAAACAGUUGAUUUAGUGUUCACUGCUCAUCCAACUCAGGCUAUUAGGAGAUCUUUGCUUCAAAAACAUGGAAGACAAGAAACUACUAAGGGGAAGGGCGACUACAUGGGCAUGCAUUAGCGGCAGAAGAUUUCGUGAAUUAUUGAAUAAAACCGGAAGCUUUAUAAAACCCCUUUAAGUUUUUUUCUGUAAUGUAUGUUUUUAGACUUGGCAUACAUGUUUGUUCUUAAACACAUUCCGCAAACAAAGUUUCCUGUGCUAUGCACGCCUUAAAUUUUGUGUGGCCGGCUUAUGGUACAAGCUCUUAUGACGUUUUGUAUGGCU